AUUGAACGCUGGCGGCAGGCAUAACACAUGCAAGUCGAACGAGUGGCGGACGGGUGAGUAAUGUCUGGGAAACUGCCCGAUGGAGGGGGAUAACUACUGGAAACGGUAGCUAAUACCGCAUACCAUCGGAUGUGCCCAGAUGGGAUUAGCUAGUAGGUGGGGUAACGGCUAACCUUGGCGACGAUCCCUAGCUGGUCUGAGAGUAUGAGCAGCAAAACUGGAUCUGAGACACGGUCCAGACCCCUACGGGAGGCAGCAGUGGGGAAUAUUUCACAAGGGGCGCAAUCCUGAUGUAUCCAUGACGGGUGUAUGAAGAAGGCCGUCGGGUUGUAAAGUACUUUCAGCGAGGAGGCGUUACUCGCAGAAGAAGCACCGGCUAACUCCGUGCCAGCAGCCGCGGUAAUUC
This 406-nucleotide ribosomal RNA is filed under the name uncultured bacterium. RNAcentral describes it as "partial 16S ribosomal RNA". It matches the Rfam family "Bacterial small subunit ribosomal RNA", at positions 30 to 526 of the family's 1533-position model. The record is from RNAcentral.